UGGGUAACCUGCCUCAAAGAGGGGAAUAGCCUCCCGAAAGGGAGAUUAAUACCGCAUAAUAUGUUUAGGUCGCAUGACUUUAACAUCAAAGGAUUUUCUUUUAGAAAUUCCACUUUGAGAUGGACCCGCGGCGCAUUGGCUAGUUGGUGAGGUAACGGCUCACCAAGGCAACGAUGCGUAGCCGACCUGAGAGGGUGAUCGGCCACAUUGGAACUGAGACACGGUCCAGACUCCGUAGGGAGG
RNAcentral lists this ribosomal RNA (243 nucleotides) under uncultured bacterium. Its description in RNAcentral is "partial 16S ribosomal RNA". It matches the Rfam family "Bacterial small subunit ribosomal RNA", at positions 118 to 348 of the family's 1533-position model. The record is from RNAcentral.